This 65-nucleotide transfer RNA is filed under the name Paragonimus westermani complex sp. type 1. RNAcentral describes it as "tRNA-Ser". Lineage: Eukaryota; Metazoa; Platyhelminthes; Trematoda; Plagiorchiida; Troglotrematidae. The record is from RNAcentral.
UGGAGUAGGGAUGUCCGAGGGGGGUUUGAAGUCCUCCCUUUUUUAUCUGAUUGGUGAUGCUCGCU